This is a long non-coding RNA of Pseudomyrmex gracilis, 569 nucleotides long. RefSeq lists it as uncharacterized. The record is from RefSeq and is a predicted model, not a curated record. Lineage: Eukaryota; Metazoa; Arthropoda; Insecta; Hymenoptera; Formicidae. The transcript has 3 exons.
AGUGUACGGUUGUGGUGAAAUGGAAAUAUACUAAGUGUGAAUGUUUUUUCUCAUGAAUUUUUCGAACAAGGAGUACACACAAACCAAAAAAUCGUGGAGAAUACACUCUUGACUUCGAAGUAUUCGCAUACAGGAUUUUUCUUGUUUCGAUAGAAAACGUUGUACGAAUUUCUAGUUUUGGUAAUAAUCUGCGUAUUGCUCGUCAUUAUUUACGAGCGUGUUUUCGAUUGCAGACAAUAGUAGUUUUUCUUGUUUUUAUUCCGUAAUGAUUUAAAGUGACAAGAGUUCUUUUGGAAAAAUAAAAAAAAGAAUUGAUCAUAAGACAAUAUAAAAAUCGGAAAAAUCGAGAAAAAGCAACGCUUAUAUAUAUAUCAUACUAACGUGAAAAAUAGCAACAAAAAUUGACUCUGCAGAAAGACAACGAGACUGCGACAAAAAACAGUACAAGAUAAUAAUGAGAAAGGAAACGAGUAUUACAUGAGUGAUUUACUAUGAUGUAAAAAGCUGCAGUAUUUCUGCGAUGUAACACUUGCGGAAGUAUUUAUCUAACCAUACUUUUUGGGUAAAAA